AGUGAACGCUGGCGGUAGGCCUAACACGUGCCAGUCGAACGGCAGCACAGUAAGAGCUUGCUCUUACGGGUGGCGAGUGGCGGACGGGUGAGGAAUACAUCGGAAUCUACUUUUUCGUGGGGGAUAACGUAGGGAAACUUACGCUAAUACCGCAUACGACCUACGGGUGAAAGCAGGGGAUCUUCGGACCUUGCGCGAUUGAAUGAGCCGAUGUCGGAUUAGCUAGUUGGCGGGGUAAAGGCCCACCAAGGCGACGAUCCGUAGCUGGUCUGAGAGGAUGAUCAGCCACACUGGAACUGAGACACGGUCCAGACUCCUACGGGAGGCAGCAGUGGGGAAUAUUGGACAAUGGGCGCAAGCCUGAUCCAGCCAUACCGCGUGGGUGAAGAAGGCCUUCGGGUUGUAAAGCCCUUUUGUUGGGAAAGAAAAGCAGCAGGUUAAUACCCCGCUGUUCUGACGGUACCCAAAGAAUAAGCACCGGCUAACUUCGUG
RNAcentral lists this ribosomal RNA (492 nucleotides) under uncultured bacterium. RNAcentral describes it as "partial 16S ribosomal RNA". It matches the Rfam family "Bacterial small subunit ribosomal RNA", at positions 29 to 507 of the family's 1533-position model. The record is from RNAcentral.